GAUGAACGCUAGCGGCAGGCUUAACACAUGCAAGUCGAGGGGCAGCGCGAGAGUAGCAAUACUUUUGGCGGCGACCGGCAGAAGGGUGCGUAACACGUGAGCAACCUGCCCGUGACAGGGGGAUAACCGAUGGAAACGUCGCCUAACACCCCGUAACAACUUGGAGGGCAUCCUUUGAGUUUGAAAAUUCCGAUGGUCACGGAUGGGCUCGCGGGACAUUAGCUAGUUGGCGGGGUAACGGCCCACCAAGGCGACGAUGUCUAGGGGUUCUGAGAGGAAGGUCCCCCACACUGGAACUGAGACACGGUCCAGACUCCUACGGGAGGCAGCAGUGAGGAAUAUUGGACAAUGGAGGCAACUCUGAUCCAGCCAUGCCGCGUGAAGGAUGAAGGCCCUAUGGGUCGUAAACUUCUUUUGUCGUAGAGCAAUAAGGUGUACGUGUACAUCGAUGAGAGUAUACGACGAAUAAGCAUCGGCUAACUCCGUGCCAGCAGCCGCGGUAAUACGGAGGAUGCAAGCGUUAUCCGGAUUUAUUGGGUUUAAAGGGUGCGUAGGCGGACGUAUAAGUCAGCGGUGAAAGGUACCGGCUCAACCGGUGAGCUGCCGUUGAAACUGUGCGACUGGAAUGCGGAUGCCGUGGGAGGAAUGUGUGGUGUAGCGGUGAAAUGCUUAGAUAUCACACAGAACACCGAUUGCGAAGGCAUCUCACGAAUCCGACACUGACGCUGAGGCACGAAAGCGUGGGGAUCAAACAGGAUUAGAUACCCUGGUAGUCCACGCAGUAAACGAUGAUGACUAACUGUCGGCGAUAAACAGUCGGUGGCCAAGCGAAAGCGAUAA
Molecule: ribosomal RNA, 840 nt
Filed under: uncultured bacterium
Lineage: Bacteria
Description: bacterial SSU rRNA
Rfam family: Bacterial small subunit ribosomal RNA
Source: RNAcentral